RNAcentral lists this ribosomal RNA (465 nucleotides) under uncultured bacterium. Its description in RNAcentral is "partial 16S ribosomal RNA". It matches the Rfam family "Bacterial small subunit ribosomal RNA", at positions 28 to 507 of the family's 1533-position model. The record is from RNAcentral.
GACGAACGCUGGCGGCGUGCUUAACACAUGCAAGUCGAACGGAAAGGCCCUGCUUGCAGGGUACUCGAGUGGCGAACGGGUGAGUAACACGUGGGUGAUCUGCCCUGCACUUCGGGAUAAGCCUGGGAAACUGGGUCUAAUACCGGAUAGGAGCCAUUUUUAGUGUGAUGGUUGGAAAGUUUUUUCGGUGUAGGAUGAGCUCGCGGCCUAUCAGCUUGUUGGUGGGGUAAUGGCCUACCAAGGCGGCGACGGGUAGCCGGCCUGAGAGGGUGGACGGCCACAGUGGGGCUGAGAUCCGGCCCAGACCCCGACGGGGGGAGGGAGGGGGGAAGUUGGAAAAAGGGGCGCAGGCUUGAUGCAGCGCGCCCGGGGGGGGGAUGAGGGCUUUGGGGUUGAAAACCCCUUUCGCGAGGAAAAAAGCUUUUUGGGACGGUACCUAAAAAAGAAGCACCGGCAAACUCCGUG